This is a long non-coding RNA of Drosophila miranda, 328 nucleotides long. RefSeq lists it as uncharacterized. Lineage: Eukaryota; Metazoa; Arthropoda; Insecta; Diptera; Drosophilidae. The record is from RefSeq and is a predicted model, not a curated record. The transcript is spliced from 2 exons.
UGGAGCACCUAUCUUUUUGGUUGAUUUUGCAGAGAAUUCUUUUGAUCUUGAUCGCUUUCAGCGUUUGCGAGUCAAGAUGGAAGCUUUGCGGUCCGUACACUGUGUGCUGGUUACUUGAGGUUUGCGAAGCCAAUUCAGCUGCAAUGUAAAUGUUCUUUUCAAGGAUAGCCACUGCAUCAUCUAUGUCGUCGCCGUUGUGAAGUUCAGUCUCCAGAUGGAUUCGCUGUUCUAGGUCUCAGGAGGAGUCUAAUAAUUUGCAUGUUGUGAUCUGAACCUAAGUCAUAUGAUGUUUCGAUGUGGAUUAAAUUGUGUCUAAUACCCUUAUAAA